Molecule: transfer RNA, 74 nt
Filed under: Actinoplanes auranticolor
Lineage: Bacteria; Bacillati; Actinomycetota; Actinomycetes; Micromonosporales; Micromonosporaceae
Description: tRNA-Leu
Rfam family: tRNA
About the family: Transfer RNA (tRNA) molecules are approximately 80 nucleotides in length. Their secondary structure includes four short double-helical elements and three loops (D, anti-codon, and T loops).
Source: RNAcentral
GCCCGGGUGGCCCAACGGCAGAGGCGUCCGAUUCAGGGUCGGAAGGUUGGGGGUUCGAAUCCCUCCCCGGGUAC